AACGAACGCUGGCGGCGUGGAUUAGGCAUGCAAGUCGAACGCGAAAGAGGGGGCAACCCCUCGAGUAGAGUGGCGAACGGGUGAGUAACGCGUGAAGAACCUGCCUUCAAGAGGGGGAUAACACUCCCAACGGGGUGCUAAUACCGCAUGAGACCACGGGGUCGCAUGGCCCUGAGGUCAAAGGUGGCCUCUAUUUAUAAGCUACCACUUGAAGAUGGCUUCGCGUCCCAUUAGCUAGUUGGCGGUGUAACGGACCACCAAGGCGACGAUGGGUAGCUGGUCUGAGAGGAUGGUCAGCCACACUGGGACUGAGAUACGGCCCAGACUCCUACGGGUGGCAG
This 341-nucleotide ribosomal RNA is filed under the name uncultured Latescibacterota bacterium. RNAcentral's name for it is "bacterial SSU rRNA". It matches the Rfam family "Bacterial small subunit ribosomal RNA", at positions 29 to 351 of the family's 1533-position model. Lineage: Bacteria; Pseudomonadati; Candidatus Latescibacterota. The record is from RNAcentral.